This 114-nucleotide ribosomal RNA is filed under the name uncultured Alphaproteobacteria bacterium. RNAcentral's name for it is "partial 16S ribosomal RNA". It matches the Rfam family "Bacterial small subunit ribosomal RNA", at positions 393 to 525 of the family's 1533-position model. The record is from RNAcentral. Lineage: Bacteria; Pseudomonadati; Pseudomonadota; Alphaproteobacteria.
CAUGCCGCGUGAGUGAUGAAGGCCCUAGGGUUGUAAAACUCUUUCGGCGGGGACGAUAAUGACGGUACCCGCAGAAGAAGCUCCGGCUAACUUCGUGCCAGCACCGCGGUAAUA